GAUGAACGCUGGCGGCGUGCCUAAUACAUGCAAGUAGAACGCUGAAGGAGGAGCUUUCUCUUCUGGAUGAGUUGCGAACGGGUGAGUAACGCGUAGGUAACCUGCCCGUUAGCGGGGGAUAACUCUUGGAAACGAUAGCUAAUACCGCAUGACAACAGUUAUUGCAUGAUAACUGUUUAAAAGGGGCAACUGCUCCACUACCAGAUGGACCUGCGUUGUAUUAGCUAGUUGGUGAGGUAACGGCUCACCAAGGCGACGAUACAUAGCCGAACUGAGAGGGGGGUAGGGCACACUGGGAAUGAGACACGGGUCAGACUCCUACCGGAGGCAGCAGGAGGGAAACUUCGGGAAUGGGCGGAAGGCUGAACGAGGAAAGCCGCGGGAGGGAAGAAGGUUCUCGGAUCGGAAAGAUCCGUUGUAUGGGAAGAAAGAGGGUGAGAGUGGAAAGUGCACACUGUGACGGUAUCUUAUCAGAAAGCGACGGCUAACUACGUG
RNAcentral lists this ribosomal RNA (495 nucleotides) under uncultured bacterium. RNAcentral's name for it is "partial 16S ribosomal RNA". It matches the Rfam family "Bacterial small subunit ribosomal RNA", at positions 28 to 507 of the family's 1533-position model. The record is from RNAcentral.